AAGGAUCAUUACCGAGUGCGGACCCUCUGGGUCCAACCUCCCACCCGUGUUUAUCGUACCGUGUUGCUUCGGCGGGCCCGCCACCCCGGCCGCCUGAGGGGCCCCUGUGGUCCCCGGGCCCGCGCCCGCCGAAGACGCCCUCGAACCCUGUCUGAAGUUGCCGUCUGAGUACACUAGUUAAAUGUUAAAACUUUCAACAACGGAUCUCUUGGUUCCG
This 217-nucleotide unclassified non-coding RNA is filed under the name uncultured fungus. RNAcentral's name for it is "partial contains 18S rRNA, ITS1, 5.8S rRNA, ITS2 and 28S rRNA". Lineage: Eukaryota; Fungi. The record is from RNAcentral.